This 2245-nucleotide long non-coding RNA is filed under the name Sus scrofa (pig). Its description in RNAcentral is "lncRNA (ENSSSCG00025042814.1)". Lineage: Eukaryota; Metazoa; Chordata; Mammalia; Artiodactyla; Suidae. The record is from RNAcentral.
AGAGAAAGCAGUUUUGGCUGAGAGAGGACUGCAGCUGCUCAAGGGUUUCCUUUGCUGUGCAGACGAUGUGACUGUUGUAUGCACUGAACAAUGCCUGCACAAGACAGUACGCAAUAAGACUUAUGAACAGAAGAUAUUCAAGAAUUUAAAAGAACCAUCCAGGAGGGCUGAAACUACAUUCUACCCAUCUCCUGAGAAUAGUUCUGCAAAGUGCAAAUAAAAUGACACAUCUCAAUGAAGGUAUUCAGCGAUAAGCAAGUAAGUUCACUCUUCUCUUCGAGUGUAGUCAUGGAUAUGCAGCAUGUAAAAUGUGGCCUUCGGCUUGUUAUCUAUUGAUGUCAAAGCUGUGGUAUUGUCAGUGAUUUUUCUUAUGGCCUUAUAUUCAGCCUUCAGUGUAAGCCAGUGGUAUAAAAUAAAGAUACUCACAGGGUGAGACAGGCCUGAUACUGUUUAGGUAUAAUGAGAAGGACAGAGUGCUUGAAAGUGUCAUCAUGCACCAAAUAUCAUAUACUCUUGGGUCAUUGGUUGUCAAGGUCUAAAAAAGUGCAUUGUGCAUCACGAUGUCUUAGCUUGCUUCCGGCUCUGAAUUUAUUUGGUUUCUAAAUAAGCCUCAAUGAGAUUCUCAGUGAUGGCUUUUGAAUAAUAUUACAUAAUGUAUGUCAACCAUAUCCAAACUUCCAGGCUUAAUAUCUACCUGACUUUAAGGAUUUUGCUGUCUUUUCCAUGAGCGCUGAGCUGAAAUGAUUUAGUACUAAGGAAGGUGAAAUGAUGUGUUGGGAGACAGCUGACUUGUGGAUGCUUCUCAGAUCAUGGAAGAGAGAAGAAAGUCCAAAAGUCAACAGUACCUGAGGCAAACAGCCAAUGGGGAAGACAACCUAAAAUCUCUGACAUUUUCUAGUAUUCAGGUCUCUUGGGGCCAAGUGACAUUGAAGUCCUUUCCCUUGGCUGAUCAGUUCAUAACCCUCAACAUUAACUCAAUGGCUCUCCUGUGAGCUUGCCCUUGCUUUGGUUCUGAUCCCUGGUAUCAUCUUUAGGCUCGAGUGUCAACAACAACCUGCUGUACCAGUCAAUGGGCAGUGCAUUCUCUCCUGUGGUCCUCUAUACAGUGCCCAUAUCUUCAUAAAUAGGUCUUUUAUUAAACUUUCCUUAAACUUCCCUAUAUGCAUGUGUCAUCUCUUCUGCUGAUACUGGUAUUAGACAAAGUGAGGUUGAGAGAGAAUGAGGAUCCCCUUUGUCAAAAGACAGUGGUAUUACCAGGUGUAGUAGGCUGAAUGAUGGAACUCAGAGUUCACUCAAUGCACUGGUUUUGCUCUGUAACUGGGAGUCUUGUUGUUAGCUACAAAGCUUCAAGACUACUUUUCCAGACUCUGAAUGAUUUUGGCAAAUAAUCUUUGUCCUGUUAUCAGCCAGAGUUGGCUUAUUGGUUUAUGUCGCUUGAAACUAAGGACCUGGUUAUGACAUAUUUUCCAUCCUGCCAUCCUUUUUGUGUCAGCUUUGACUGCAGGCAAGAUUUCCUCUUGACCUCAUGACAGCUGUAGCUGUUGUAGGAAUUAUAGGCAGACAUAAUAACCCCCAGAGGGGGAAGAAAUUGCUUAUAUUUAUGUUCUCUUUUAGGACUGGAGGCCGCUUUACCUCAAGCCUCUUAUCAGAUUUUUCUCUCACACGCUACAUUUUGUGCUGGUACAUAACACUGGUCAAAUCAACAUUAUCAGCCACAAAUAAAGUUUCUAUGAAGAAUAAAUACAUGUGUGUAAAGCUUUUCACACUGUAGUCAGCAUACUUGAAGAAUCUGAGUGAAAACUUCCAAUACUUAAACUCCCUUGGGAAGGUUUCUGCCAUAUAUACAACUCAGGAUUCACCCCAGACUUACUGAAAUACAGUGUUUAGAUGUAGGGCCUAGUUAGCAAUAUUUAAAAAAAACUUGUUCGGUAGAUUCUCAAUAUAUCCUUGGUUAACAAUCUCCAAAAAGGAGUAAUUAUAGCAUUUAAACUGAAAUGUUUAUCCAGAUGUUUUACUCUUCUACCCAAGUGAAAUUUCCUACUGCUUCUUUCUCUUAGGUCAUGGGUUAAUGUUAAAUGAUUGGCAAAUUGAAGACUAAAUAGUCAAAGAUAGCUGUCCUCGUAAAGAGCUGUUGAAACUAGAGAAAAUAGUUGGCCUUUGGGCUGUUGGCUACUACUCUGUGAAAGGUGAAUUGAGUUUAUAGUUCCGAGUUACUCAGCUUAGUGAUUUUUAACUUAACUGGUAC